Molecule: ribosomal RNA, 434 nt
Filed under: Clostridioides difficile
Lineage: Bacteria; Bacillati; Bacillota; Clostridia; Peptostreptococcales; Peptostreptococcaceae
Description: bacterial SSU rRNA
Rfam family: Bacterial small subunit ribosomal RNA
Source: RNAcentral
UGGUGCAUGGUUGUCGUCAGCUCGUGUCGUGAGAUGUUGGGUUAAGUCCCGCAACGAGCGCAACCCUUGUCUUUAGUUGCCAUCAUUAAGUUGGGCACUCUAGAGAGACUGCCAGGGAUAACCUGGAGGAAGGUGGGGAUGACGUCAAAUCAUCAUGCCCCUUAUGCUUAGGGCUACACACGUGCUACAAUGGGUAGUACAGAGGGUUGCCAAGCCGUAAGGUGGAGCUAAUCCCUUAAAGCUACUCUCAGUUCGGAUUGUAGGCUGAAACUCGCCUACAUGAAGCUGGAGUUACUAGUAAUCGCAGAUCAGAAUGCUGCGGUGAAUGCGUUCCCGGGUCUUGUACACACCGCCCGUCACACCACGGGAGUUGGAGACGCCCGAAGCCGAUUAUCUAACCUUUUGGAAGAAGUCGUCGAAGGUGGAAUCAAUAA